GGGGACGUGGAGGGCUCAUGACUAUCUUGUAACAUUUCACCGCAAAUUGACUGGCUAUGGGCCUCGUUGCAGGGGGCCAACAGCCCGAUCUUGGCCUUGGCAGCGGUAUUCGGCGGGAGCAUGAGCCUUGAUAACCCAAGCCCGCGAAUUUGUUUCCUCGGGACCUGGAGGGCGGGGCUGGGCCGACAGCUGUGGCAGGAAGAACUCGCCAAACACAAAGGUUGCCCUGUUUCUGACGCACAAAUUCAUUUUAUUGUUUUUGCAGUUCAUGAUGUUGGAGGCUCAGCCAACUUUGACCGGCGCUAUGUGGCUCCGAGCGCAUGGGCAACCCGCUCGCACACUUGCAUGCGGGCUAGUAUACCCACUCACUCGGAUGGGGCUGGACGCCUACCCCAUGGGCGGCUCACAUGUAUCUGUCAGCUUCACGGUCGUCCUGCUCUCGAUGUCGACCGGCACCUCGGUCUCACGCUCGUCCACUUCAGGGGCCACGAUGGCGGUGCUAGCCAGGGACGCGACACGCAGGGCCUGCCCCCCUCCCCGUCGCCGAGGACAUCCAGUCGACAGGGUCCAGUGAAACGCUAACAGGAGUCGCGCCGCCGAGGCCGGGGCUUCUGAUGACCCAGAACCGCCGCAUCGACUAAUGACACUUGCUGUUCUUUAACCAGUGAAUGAUGUUUUUAUUAUACAGUGAUUCUAAAUCUAAUGAAUUGGAUUCAAAUAUAAAAAGUAUUUCGGUUUGAAUUGUUGAUUGGUUUUCAUACAGGAAUUACAUCUGUAGUGUGCUUGAUAAAUUGAGGUUUAUCAUCCAUUACCGUGGUGGUACAAUCUAUCCUUACCUAGGCCAUCUAUAUGCCUUGACGAGAAGUUUUCUGAAGAUAGAUUAAACCUACGUCCUGGCUCCUUUCUUUCUGUAGACCUUCAAUAAUCAGUGUUCUUGACCAUGUGCCUCAUCACAAAGAUUUGACGCUGCUCAUAUAACAUCAUUUGGCAUUAUUGGACCUGCAGCUAAAUUGCUUACAACUCAUUGUAAAAGAGUACAUUGUCAUGCAGUUUCGAGCAUUAACAUCAGCUGCUGUUUUAGGUGCCACAAAAAACCAUAAUGGAUUCAACUCACUCAAAUGAGUACAGGAAGUUCAAGGAGAUCCUUAUGCCCAUUUGUCCCGCAUAAGAUACCUCAAGGAGUUCGCUUCUUUCAUACCCCAUCUCAUGUGAUUGCUGCAAUUCCACUCCUUUGUCUGUGUAUUUCCAUUUCCAGUUGCCUGUUGCACUUUAGGAGUGUUUUCCCAACUAGAAAUCUUACUUUGUUAUCUCCUACUUUAAACAUCUGUAUUGCCAUCACGGCUGCUGGUCAUUUUGGCAACAUGUGAUCUACUGGCAAUAUCAAAGUUAAGUAGCAUCAGUUUACUUUAUUCAUUUGCUGAAUACAAAGCAGAUGUUAAGAAUUACGAGUGCUCAGUGUCUAUGUUUUCCAGCCUAGUCGAUAUUUCUGAAAGUGUUGAUCAGAGGGAUUCAACAGGAUGUGUAAAGUCUUGAGCCUGAUGAGGCUGGUGAAAGGUCGAAUUGAUUGAUGUUGUUAUAUAAGAUGGUACACGUCUUACAAUCCACUCACUGCAUCUAUGUGAACAUCAUGGAAUUUAUUACUUCAGAUGCAAGUAGCAUGUUC
Long non-coding RNA from Frankliniella occidentalis (western flower thrips), 1663 nucleotides. RefSeq lists it as uncharacterized. The record is from RefSeq and is a predicted model, not a curated record. NCBI's taxonomy places the organism in Eukaryota, Metazoa, Arthropoda, Insecta, Thysanoptera, Thripidae. The transcript has 7 exons.